CAUCUCUGAUAGGGAGAAGCCGUUGCUGACACAGAUGAUGGCUGUUGCGGCUGGUCUGGAAGCAGGCCCGGUGAUCUCUGGGAUUGGGGGGAGAGAGAGCAGGCCCCUCCUUCCCAGAGGCUGCUCCCCCAGACAGAGGGCUUGGGGGCUUGGGUUGCUGUGUGGGGACAAAGGGGAACGGUUCUUGAACUCAAAAGUCCUAAGUUGUCUCCACUGGGGUCUGAAAGGAAGCGGUUGGGGAACCGGGGAUGGGCCAUUGGCCCUGGGAGCCCCGGAGAAGUGGCUCUAUUUUCCCUACGGGGACCUGCUCGGGCACAGAAAGGAAAUCCAAGGGCUCUUCAAGGCUGAGGUCUGGGCCCUUGUUUGCCAGAGGAGGCGAGUGAAGCCUCGGAGAAGCUCAGUGACCAAUUCCAGUUGGGAAAGCGGGUGAUGUCAGGUCGGGCUUCUGGGAUGUGGCUGCAGGACUCAAAUCCCCACCCAAGGCAUCGAACGAGGGGACUUGGCGCAAUCUGCAGAGGAACCCUGGCCAGUCCUCUUGUGGCACAGAUUGGGGAAGUGAUGUUCUAGGCCCCCCAGGCUGAGAUUGGAGCCAGGCCCUUAAACCCAAGUGAUCAGCAGCUUCAGGAGGCAAAGGAGCUCAAGAAUUCUCUGGCCUAGGGAGGGGCCCUACAGCCAAACACAAGUGGUCCAGGGAAUAAGAGACAGGGAGGGGGAGCAGGGGGAGGGAGAAGGGGGACCAGCAGGAGGGAGAAGGGAGGAACAGAGGGAGGGAAGGGAGGAACAGAGGGAGGGAAGGGGAGGAACAGAGGGAGGGAAGGGGACCAAGAGGAGGGAGAAGGGAGGAACAGAGGGAGGGAAGGGGGGACCAGCAGGAGGGAGAAGGGAGGAACAGAGGGAGGGAGAAGGGAGGAACAGAGGGAGGGAAGGGGGGUAAAGGGGGAAAGAAACCUCUGACCAGCCUAAGCCGAAGCAAAACUCUUCUGCAGACGAAAUCUGUCACCAGAACCCCCCUCCCCGGUGACCUUUAAACUUGCUUCCUCCCCUGCCAGGUUUCUGGGGGCAUCCAGUAA
RNAcentral lists this long non-coding RNA (1070 nucleotides) under Sarcophilus harrisii (Tasmanian devil). Its description in RNAcentral is "lncRNA (ENSSHAG00000020803.1)". The record is from RNAcentral. Lineage: Eukaryota; Metazoa; Chordata; Mammalia; Dasyuromorphia; Dasyuridae.